This 450-nucleotide ribosomal RNA is filed under the name uncultured bacterium. RNAcentral describes it as "partial 16S ribosomal RNA". It matches the Rfam family "Bacterial small subunit ribosomal RNA", at positions 338 to 795 of the family's 1533-position model. The record is from RNAcentral.
CCUACGGGGGGCUGCAGUAAGGAAUAUUGGACAAUGGCGGCAACGCUGAUCCAGCUAUCCCGCGUGCAGGAUGAAGGGGCUAUGCCUUGUAAACUGCUUUGGACUGAGACGAAAAAAUGGGAUUCUUCCCAUAUUGACGGUAUCAGUAGAACAAGCACCGGCUAACUCCGUGCCAGCAGCCGCGGUAAUACGGAGGGUGCAAGCGUCAUCCGGAAUCACGGGGGGGUAGGGGUGCGUAGGCGUCCGGAGUGAAAGGCCACAGCUUAACUGUGGGAUUGCUUUUGAUACUGGCGGGCUUGGAUUAGGACGAGGUUGGCGGAAUGUGGCAAGUAGCGGUGAAAUGCAUAGAUAUGCCAUAGAAUACCGAUUGCGAAGGCAGCUGACUAGACCUAUAUUGACGCUGAGGCACGAAAGCGUGGGGAGCGAACAGGAUUAGAUACCCGUGUAGUC